AGAACGUAAGAGCCCUACUCGAUCAUUGGGUCGAGUAGAACCAACAGGUGACAAAAUUAAGAAACCUAAAUGCAAUCAACAGGGGAUACAAAUAACAAGUAAAUAAAAGUGCAAUUAACAGGGGGUACAAAUAAAUCUAGUAGAAGUUCUAAGGAUGGAUUCAUUGAUAAGGGCAAUUCUAGGGUUCAUCAGAUGGCUAAUAGGUGAAAGGUAGAUACCCUUGACGAUAGAUUUAAAAACCGGGUCAAUCCACAGUCGUGACAUAAACCCCCAUAACUCUACCACUUCCUAAUCUCAACUAUCGUUGAUGAAACAUAGCAGAGCAGGGUUUAGGAAACAAUCUACCAAAGCCAAUAAGCAGACAAGCCAAUGUCUUGGUCGAGUCUAUAAAUCUCUGGAAUUCGUAGAUCAGACAUCCAUUUGAACGUCUUUUGGACGCUGGACAUCUAUGAUCGAAUCUCCACAUUAGCCAGCGAAAACCGCAUAGCGGCCAUGCGAAUCCAGAAGGGUUCUAACCUAAUCUUAACCACCUAACUAACCUAGAGAUUACCCUAAUCUAAUUCAUCCUCAAGAACCCUAAUCACUACUCAAGCAACAUUCUCAAGAACACAAACCCAGAAAUUACUGAAAUCAUACCAAAAUGUAGAUCUAAGCAAGCUAAACAACUUUACUAAAACAACUAAA
Molecule: small RNA, 684 nt
Filed under: Arabidopsis thaliana (thale cress)
Lineage: Eukaryota; Viridiplantae; Streptophyta; Magnoliopsida; Brassicales; Brassicaceae
Description: ATSL093710
Source: RNAcentral